Molecule: ribosomal RNA, 468 nt
Filed under: uncultured bacterium
Lineage: Bacteria
Description: partial 16S ribosomal RNA
Rfam family: Bacterial small subunit ribosomal RNA
Source: RNAcentral
GACGAACGCUGGCGGCGUGCUUAACACAUGCAAGUCGAACGGAAAGGCCCUGCUUUUGUGGGGUGCUCGAGUGGCGAACGGGUGAGUAACACGUGAGUAACCUGCCCUUGACUUUGGGAUAACUUCAGGAAACUGGGGCUAAUACCGGAUAGGAGCUCCUGCUGCAUGGUGGGGGUUGGAAAGUUUCGGCGGUUGGGGAUGGACUCGCGGCUUAUCAGCUUGUUGGUGGGGUAGUGGCUUACCAAGGCUUUGACGGGUAGCCGGCCUGAGAGGGUGACCGGCCACAUUGGGACUGAGAUACGGCCCAGAGUCCUACGGGAGGCAGCAGUGGGGAAUAUUGCACAAUGGGCGGAAGCCUGAUGCAGCAACGCCGCGUGCGGGAUGACGGCCUUCGGGUUGUAAACCGAUGUCGCCUGUGACGAAGCGUGAGUGGCGGUAAUGGGUAAAGAAGCACCGGCUAACUACGUG